Molecule: long non-coding RNA, 129 nt
Organism: Etheostoma cragini (Arkansas darter)
Lineage: Eukaryota; Metazoa; Chordata; Actinopteri; Perciformes; Percidae
Exons: 3
Source: RefSeq, a predicted model, not a curated record
GAGAGAGGGGGGGGGGGGGGCAAGGUAGAGGGUGUGGCCUUGACCAACUUCCACUUUACUUGUGUGAAAGCCAUGAUAUCUAUCUCUCAUGGGUGGGCCAAAUUCUCUGGGUGGGCAAAGCAGAGACAG